RNAcentral lists this ribosomal RNA (253 nucleotides) under uncultured bacterium. RNAcentral describes it as "partial 16S ribosomal RNA". It matches the Rfam family "Bacterial small subunit ribosomal RNA", at positions 524 to 776 of the family's 1533-position model. The record is from RNAcentral.
GACAGAGGUCCCGAGCGUUAGGCGGAAUCACUGGGCUUAAAGCGUGUGUAGGUGGAUGCCUAAGUACCUUGUGAAAUCCCACGGCUUAACCGUGGAACUGCUUGGUAUACUGGGUGUCUUGAGCCAGCUAGGGGCUACCGGAACAAAUGGUGGAGCGGUGAAAUGCGUAGAUAUCAUUUGGAACGUCAAUGGUGAAAACAGGUAGCUGGGGCUGUGCUGACACUGAGACACGAAAGCCAGGGGAGCGAACGGG